AUUGAACGCUGGCGGCAUGCCUUACACAUGCAAGUCGAACGGUAACGGGCCUUCGGGUGCCGACGAGUGGCGAACGGGUGAGUAAUGUAUCGGAACGUACCUUUCAGUGGGGGAUAACGUAGCGAAAGUUACGCUAAUACCGCAUAUUCUGUGAGCAGGAAAGCAGGGGAUCGCAAGACCUUGCGCUGAUUGAGCGGCCGAUAUCAGAUUAGCUAGUUGGUGAGGUAAAGGCUCACCAAGGCGACGAUCUGUAGCGGGUCUGAGAGGAUGAUCCGCCACACUGGAACUGAGACACGGUCCAGACUCCUACGGGAGGCAGCAGUGGGGAAUUUUGGACAAUGGGGGCAACCCUGAUCCAGCCAUGCCGCGUGAGUGAAGAAGGCCUUCGGUGUAA
This 394-nucleotide ribosomal RNA is filed under the name uncultured bacterium. Its description in RNAcentral is "bacterial SSU rRNA". It matches the Rfam family "Bacterial small subunit ribosomal RNA", at positions 30 to 428 of the family's 1533-position model. The record is from RNAcentral.